This 465-nucleotide ribosomal RNA is filed under the name uncultured Klebsiella sp. RNAcentral's name for it is "bacterial SSU rRNA". It matches the Rfam family "Bacterial small subunit ribosomal RNA", at positions 338 to 795 of the family's 1533-position model. The record is from RNAcentral. Lineage: Bacteria; Pseudomonadati; Pseudomonadota; Gammaproteobacteria; Enterobacterales; Enterobacteriaceae.
CCUACGGGGGGCUGCAGUGGGGAAUAUUGCACAAUGGGCGCAAGCCUGAUGCAGCCAUGCCGCGUGUGUGAAGAAGGCCUUCGGGUUGUAAAGCACUUUCAGCGGGGAGGAAGGCGUUAAGGUUAAUAACCUUGUCGAUUGACGUUACCCGCGGAAGAAGCACCGGCUAACUCCGUGCCAGCAGCCGCGGUAAUACGGAGGGUGCAAGCGUUAAUCGGAAUUACUGGGCGUAAAGCGCACGCAGGCGGUCUGUCAAGUCGGAUGUGAAAUCCCCGGGCUCAACCUGGGAACUGCAUUCGAAACUGGCAGGCUAGAGUCUUGUAGAGGGGGGUAGAAUUCCAGGUGUAGCGGUGAAAUGCGUAGAGAUCUGGAGGAAUACCGGUGGCGAAGGCGGCCCCCUGGACAAAGACUGACGCUCAGGUGCGAAAGCGUGGGGAGCAAACAGGAUUAGAUACCCCAGUAGUC